CAAUAGCGUAUAUUUAAGUUGCUGCAGUUAAAAAGCUCGUAGUUGGAUUUCGGGUGGGAAUGGCCGGUCCGCCGUUUCGGUGUGCACUUGCUACGCCCACCUUGCUGCCGGGGACGUGCUCUUGAGUUCACGCUCGGGACACGGAGUCGGCGAGGUUACUUUGAGUAAAUUAGAGUGUUCAAAGCAGGCCUACGCUCUGAAUACAUUAGCAUGGAAUAACACGAUAGGACUCUGGCCUAUCUUGUUGGUCUGUAGGACCGGAGUAAGGAUUAAGAGGGACAGUCGGGGGCAUUCGUAUUUCAUUGUCAGAGGUGAAAUUCUUGGAUUUGUGAAAGACGAACUACUGCGAAAGCAUUUGCCAAGGAUGUUUUCAUUAA
RNAcentral lists this ribosomal RNA (377 nucleotides) under uncultured eukaryote. Its description in RNAcentral is "partial 18S ribosomal RNA". It matches the Rfam family "Eukaryotic small subunit ribosomal RNA", at positions 592 to 976 of the family's 1831-position model. The record is from RNAcentral.